GGCCUGUUAGCUCAGUUGGUUAGUGCUUGGUGCUAAUAAUGCUAAGGUUGGGGGUACAAUCCCCAUAUGGGCCA
This 74-nucleotide transfer RNA is filed under the name Lepisosteus oculatus (spotted gar). It matches the Rfam family "tRNA". From Rfam's summary of the family: Transfer RNA (tRNA) molecules are approximately 80 nucleotides in length. Their secondary structure includes four short double-helical elements and three loops (D, anti-codon, and T loops). Further hydrogen bonds mediate the characteristic L-shaped molecular structure. tRNAs have two regions of fundamental functional importance: the anti-codon, which is responsible for specific mRNA codon recognition, and the 3' end, to which the tRNAs corresponding amino acid is attached (by aminoacyl-tRNA synthetases). tRNAs cope with the degeneracy of the genetic code in two manners: having more than one tRNA (with a specific anti-codon) for a particular amino acid; and 'wobble' base-pairing, i.e. permitting non-standard base-pairing at the 3rd anti-codon position. Lineage: Eukaryota; Metazoa; Chordata; Actinopteri; Semionotiformes; Lepisosteidae. The record is from Rfam by way of RNAcentral.